Molecule: transfer RNA, 66 nt
Filed under: Rhagio sp. KW-2016
Lineage: Eukaryota; Metazoa; Arthropoda; Insecta; Diptera; Rhagionidae
Description: tRNA-Pro
Rfam family: tRNA
About the family: Transfer RNA (tRNA) molecules are approximately 80 nucleotides in length. Their secondary structure includes four short double-helical elements and three loops (D, anti-codon, and T loops).
Source: RNAcentral
CAGGAAAUAGUUUAAAUUAAAAUAUUAAUUUUGGAGAUUAAAGAUAUGAGUUAUUUAUUUUCCUGA